This is a long non-coding RNA of Oncorhynchus tshawytscha (Chinook salmon), 1848 nucleotides long. Lineage: Eukaryota; Metazoa; Chordata; Actinopteri; Salmoniformes; Salmonidae. The record is from Ensembl.
UAGCAAACGUGGAAGUGAACUGAACGCCCUUCAGGACUUUGUCAGUGGUUGAAUCCAAGAACGUUACACAUCAGAAACUAAAGGGUUAUAUUUGAUGGCCUGGGUGGUAGGGAUUCAGCGAAUGCCUCAGAAGCUCGGUGUUUUUCUAGUCAUAGGAAUGAAACCACCACUCGGAACAACUACUAACAGCAACAGCAGGUACAGGUGUCCCAGCAGAAGGUGAUGUCAUGACAGCAGCAACUCUCGCCCCAUAUGACCACAGCCGCAAGGCCAAGACAUAAUACAGCGCUGCCUAGAAGGCCAGCAUCCCGGAGUCGCCUCUUCACUGUUGACUUUGAGACUGGUGUUUUACGGGUACUAUUUAAUGAAGCUGCCAGUUGAGGACUUGUGAGGCGUCUGUUUCUCAAACUAGACACUAAUGUACUUGUCCUCUUGCUCAGUUGUGCACCAGGGCCUCCCACUCUUCUUUCUAUUCUGGUUAGAGACAGUUCUGUUCUGUGAAGCGAGUAGUAAACAGCGUUGUACCAGAUCUUCAGUUUCUCUACAAUUUCACACAUGGAAUAGCCUUCUUUUCUCAGAACAAGAAUAGACUGACAAGUUUCAGAAGAAAGUGCUUUGUUUCUGGCCAUUUUUAAGCCUGUAAUUGAACCAACAGAUGCUGAUGCUCCAGAUACUCAACUAGUCUAAAGAAGGCCAGUUAUAUUGCUUCUUUAAUCAGGACAACAGUUUUCUGCUGUGCUAACACAAUUGCAAAAGGUUUUUCUAAUGAUCAAUUAGCCUUUUAAAAUUAUAGCUAAUCCAAGUUUAAAACAACUGUCCUUUGGAACACAGGUUGCUGACAAUUGGCCUCUGUACGCCUAUGUAGAUAUUCCAUAAAAUAAUCAGCCGUUUCCAGCUACAAUAGUCAUUGUUAAUGUUGUAAAUGUCUACACUGUAUUUAUGAUCAAUUUGAUGUCAUAUUAAUGGACAAAAAAAUGUGAUUUUCUUUCAAAAGCAAGGACAUUUCUAAGUGACCCCAAACUUUUGAACUGUUGUGUGAAAUACGUAUAUAUUAUACUGAACAAAAAUAUAAAUGCAACAUGUGAAGUGUUGGUCCCAUGUUACUUAAAUAAGCUGAAGUAAAAUAUCACAGACAUUUUUCCAGACACACAAAAGCUUAUUUCUUUCAAAUGUUAUGCACACAUUUGUUUACAUCCCUGUUAGUGAGCAUUUCUCCUUUGCCAAGAUAAUACAGCCACCUGACAGGUGUGGCAUAUCAAGAAGCUGAUUAAACAGCAUGAUCAUUACACAGGUGCACCUUGUGCUGGGGUCAAUAAAAGGCCACUAUUAAAUGUGCAGUUUUGUCUCACAACACAAUGCCUCAAAUGGUAUCAAAUACAUUGGUUUCCAGGUGUUUGUUGCCAUUCCAUUUGCUACUUUCCAGCCAUUAUUAUGAGCCAUUCUCCCCUCAGCAGCCUCCACUGGCCUAUGCCUUCCCAGACCCACCCAUGGCUGCACCCCUGCCCAGUCAUGUGACAUCCAUAGAUUAGGGCCUGAUGAAUUGAUUUCAAUUGACUGAUUUCCUUAUAUGAGCUGUAACUCAUCAUUGAGUUACAAAUCAUUGAAUUUGUUGCAUGUUGCUAUUAAAAAUGUUUGUUCAGUAUAUAUAUAUAUAUAUAUGUGUGUAUUAUUAUUAUUAACAGUUAACACCCAACAACAACUGCUCCCCGGAUGCCGAUGACAUUGAUUAAGGAAGACACAUUUUGGUUGAAUGCCUUCAGUUGUGCAACUGACUAGGUUUUCCCUUUCCCUACUUACAGUGCCUUGCGAAAGUAUUCGGCCCCCUUGAACUUUGCGACCUUUUGCCAC